UGGCGUAGUGGUCACUGCACUCGCCUUGCACGCGGGAGACCCGGGUUCGAUUCCCGA
RNAcentral lists this transfer RNA (57 nucleotides) under Diaphorina citri (Asian citrus psyllid). The record is from Rfam by way of RNAcentral. Lineage: Eukaryota; Metazoa; Arthropoda; Insecta; Hemiptera; Psyllidae.